UAGACUAUAGCUAAUCUUUUCCUAGGCUUGUUUGUUGGCUGGGUCUCAAAUGACCAUAGUCUAGCUCUUGCAGUUACCUACUGACAUGGUUUAGAUCUGUGUCCCUACUGACAUGGUUUAGCUCGUGUCCCCACCAGAUCUCAUCUUGAAUUGUACUCCCAUAAUUCCCACGUGUUGUGGGAGGGACUUGGUGGGAGAUAAUUUAAAUCAUGAGGGUGGUUUCCCCCAUACUGUUCGCAUGGUAGUGAAUAAGUCUCAUGAGAUCUGAUGGUUUUAUCAGGGGGUUCUGCUUUUGCAUCUUCCUCAUUUUUCUCUUGCCACCACCAUGUUAAGAAGAGCCUUUUGCCUCCCACCAUGAUUCUGAGGCCUCCCCAGCCAUGCAGAACUAAUCUGGGAGCACUCAGUUGUGGAACCCAGCCACCAUGUUGUGAAGAAGCCCUGUGCAGUGGUCCAAGUGACCAGGAGUCAAAGCUCCCAGCCAAUAGCCAGCACUAACUUGUCAGCAGUGUCAUGGAGCCCACUUGAAAGAGGAUUCUAAUUAUGCUGCCCAAGCUGUGGCCACAUGGAGGAGAGAUAUACAGUCCCUGCUGAACCCUGCUCUAAUUACAGGGAGACUUGAAAACCAG
Molecule: long non-coding RNA, 626 nt
Filed under: Homo sapiens (human)
Lineage: Eukaryota; Metazoa; Chordata; Mammalia; Primates; Hominidae
Description: HSALNT0311561
Source: RNAcentral